AGAGUUUGAUCAUGGCUCAGGACGAACGCUGGCGGCGUGCUUAACACAUGCAAGUCGAACGAUGAAGCCCCUUCGGGGGUGGAUUAGUGGCGAACGGGUGAGUAACACGUGGGCAAUCUGCCCUGCACUCUGGGACAAGCCCUGGAAACGGGGUCUAAUACCGGAUACGACACAGGGAGGCAUCUCCUCUGUGUGGAAAGCUCCGGCGGUGCAGGAUGAGCCCGCGGCCUAUCAGCUUGUUGGUGAGGUAACGGCUCACCAAGGCGACGACGGGUAGCCGGCCUGAGAGGGCGACCGGCCACACUGGGACUGAGACACGGCCCAGACUCCUACGGGAGGCAGCAGUGGGGAAUAUUGCACAAUGGGCGCAAGCCUGAUGCAGCGACGCCGCGUGAGGGAUGACGGCCUUCGGGUUGUAAACCUCUUUCAGCAGGGAAGAAGCGCAAGUGACGGUACCUGCAGAAGAAGCGCCGGCUAACUACGUGCCAGCAGCCGCGGUA
This 500-nucleotide ribosomal RNA is filed under the name uncultured Actinomycetes bacterium. RNAcentral describes it as "bacterial SSU rRNA". It matches the Rfam family "Bacterial small subunit ribosomal RNA", at positions 8 to 522 of the family's 1533-position model. Lineage: Bacteria; Bacillati; Actinomycetota; Actinomycetes. The record is from RNAcentral.